This 489-nucleotide ribosomal RNA is filed under the name Streptomyces sp. 313B11. RNAcentral describes it as "bacterial SSU rRNA". It matches the Rfam family "Bacterial small subunit ribosomal RNA", at positions 93 to 596 of the family's 1533-position model. Lineage: Bacteria; Bacillati; Actinomycetota; Actinomycetes; Kitasatosporales; Streptomycetaceae. The record is from RNAcentral.
UAGUGGCGAACGGGUGAGUAACACGUGGGCAAUCUGCCCUGCACUCUGGGACAAGCCCUGGAAACGGGGUCUAAUACCGGAUAACACUGUCCCCCUCCUGGGGGACGGUUGAAAGCUCCGGCGGUGCAGGAUGAGCCCGCGGCCUAUCAGCUUGUUGGUGGGGUAAUGGCCUACCAAGGCGACGACGGGUAGCCGGCCUGAGAGGGCGACCGGCCACACUGGGACUGAGACACGGCCCAGACUCCUACGGGAGGCAGCAGUGGGGAAUAUUGCACAAUGGGCGAAAGCCUGAUGCAGCGACGCCGCGUGAGGGAUGACGGCCUUCGGGUUGUAAACCUCUUUCAGCAGGGAAGAAGCGAAAGUGACGGUACCUGCAGAAGAAGCGCCGGCUAACUACGUGCCAGCAGCCGCGGUAAUACGUAGGGCGCAAGCGUUGUCCGGAAUUAUUGGGCGUAAAGAGCUCGUAGGCGGUCUGUCACGUCGGGUGUG